UCACAUGGUUUUAUUGAAUUACAGGAUCAGGGAGCAUGGGACCCCGAUUCCUUGUCUCUAGAGUUGGGACUUGCAACGUUACGAGAGUUGGAAUGUAUCAGAUAUCAGGAAGCACAAGAAGACUGGAGAAAGAGUGAUGAUAACAAGUCUGAUUCCUGCAAGCAAAAAGAUAAGGAUCAGGGAGCAUGGGACCCCGAUUCCUUGUCUCUAGAGUUGGGACUUGCAACGUUACGAGAGUUGGAAUGUAUCAGAUAUCAGGAAGCACAAGAAGACUGGAGAAAGAGUGAUGAUAACAAGUCUGAUUCCUGCAAGCAAAAAGAUAAGGAGCAGGAAGCAUGGGAUCCCGAUUCCUUGUCUCUAGAGUUGGGACUUGCACCGUUACAAGAGUUGGAAUGGAUCAGAUAUCAGGAAGCACAAGAAGACUGGAGAAGGAGUGAUGAUAACAAGUCUGAUUCCUGCAAGCUAAGAGAUAAGACAACAUCAGAUGACCGGAGCAAGAGUGGCGAUAACAAGUACGAUUCCUGCAAGACAAGAGAUAAGAAACCUAUCGUGGAUUUGGCUGAUGAAUUCGAAAACAAUACCAUAAAAAAAAAGAUCACGCUUCUUAGCGAAAAAUACGAUUUCUUCAGACCAGUUGACAGAGAUGGCAGUUGCUUUUAUCGAGCUUUCAUUUUCAGUUACAUGGAGCGUAUUGUAGCAAUGCAGGAUGACUUGGAGCGCAUUAUUGAAGUUUCCCGUAUCGGAGAACGUAUUGGAAAAUACAAGCAAGCUUAUGCAAGAUUUGGUUCUUUUGGAAUACCUCAAGAAGAAUUCUUGAAAGCUCUUUCUGCAUUUGAACAAUUGAUCAACUUAAUUGAAAAGGGUGUUGCUGUUGAACAACUAUAUCAGAUAGAUGAGACUGACAUCACAAAAAACAGUUUACGCUUCCUUAGGUUUCUGACUGAGAUUGAGAUCUGCACACAUGAGGACCACUACAAGGGUUUUCUUCUAACAGCAGAUUAUUCAUCUGUUUUUGAGUUUUGCCAGGUUGAAGUGCGACCUGAGAAUGCUGAAGCGAGCAAUGAACAGAUGAAGGCACUUGUGGAAGCACUCGGCAUCCCCGUACUUGUGGAGAAUCUCGAUACAACCUCGGAGACUGACACCCCCAUACUAAAUCAGCAUUUCAUCUACCCCAGACCAGAAUCAGAAGAGGGCACGAUGUUGGGACCUCUGAAUUCGCAUGAGAUUGUCUCUCCUGAAAGCAGUGGUUACCAUGCAGCUAGAGGUGAGCUUCAGAAUCAGCCUAGUACCAGUGGCUCCAGUACAAACAGCUCAACAGAAGCAUUGGGACUGCAAUCAAUUGGCACCAGUUCAACUCCUAAUGAGCGAGAUGGAAAGGGAGACAGGACCAUCAACGACCUAUCCCCAGCAGAAAGAAGGCGGUUAGCGAUCUUGCUGUACAGGCCUGGGCACUAUGACAUUCUUUGUCCCAAGUAGACCUACCUUUCUCUGGAGUCUGGAAUACGUAGUGUGCUUGAUUCUCGACGGUAACAUUUGAGCUGUGGCUUGUAACUUUGUUCUGCCUGACCUGAGCCGUAGAGCUAUUCAUGUCCUUGACUUGUAUGGAGAUCUGUUGUUGCUAUUCAUCCCGUUGUCACAUAGCGUGUUGGUGUAGAUUUUUCUGCCCAAAUUGCGUAUUUGCGUUGGUGAGAAAUGCGGGCUAAAUUGCUUUGUGUUGUUUGGAGGUAUGGUUUUAGUGGAAGCCGAGCUUGAUU
This 1754-nucleotide long non-coding RNA is filed under the name Oryza sativa tropical japonica subgroup. RNAcentral describes it as "lncRNA OsCMeo_04g0029490". The record is from RNAcentral. Lineage: Eukaryota; Viridiplantae; Streptophyta; Magnoliopsida; Poales; Poaceae.